RNAcentral lists this non-coding RNA (613 nucleotides) under Nippostrongylus brasiliensis. RNAcentral's name for it is "Eukaryotic small subunit ribosomal RNA". It matches the Rfam family "Eukaryotic small subunit ribosomal RNA", at positions 471 to 895 of the family's 1831-position model. The record is from Rfam by way of RNAcentral. Lineage: Eukaryota; Metazoa; Nematoda; Chromadorea; Rhabditida; Heligmosomidae.
AAAAUCAUCUUUCGUACCCUUUUUUAAUGAAUGACUCUCGUCAGGGAAUAGCGCGAUUAUGAGCAGCGCUCAUAGAAAAAUUAGGCAAUUCGUCGAAAAAGUGUCUGCCCGAUAAACCUGAUGGUAGUCUACAAUGAGCUGAUCAUAAACCUUUCCCGAGGAACAAGUUGAGGGCAAGUCUGGUGCCAGUAGCCGCUGUAAUUCCAGCUCCACUAGUGUAAGUCGUCAUUGCUGCGGUUGAAAACCUCGGAGUUGUAUCAGAGUCAUGCAGUGGUUCACCUUCGGUUUUUACCGCUGUUGUGACUAGUUGCUGGUUUUCUAUUAAAGCUUCGGCUCUUUUAGUGGCUAGCGAGUUUACUUUGAAUAAAUAAGAGCGCUCAGAAUGGCAGUUUGCAGGAAUGGUCGAUCAUGGGAUAAUAUUAGGUCGUCGGAAAAGUUUCCCGCCACUUUUGCCAAUGUUUUCAAAAUUGUUCCUCUCCUUUAUUCCACUCGACAUCCGACACAUUUAUGCAUGAUUACCAUCAACAACAUCUUGUUAUUUAUCAGAUAAAAUUGGAACUCUCCUCCUCCAGAAUUUCUAGAGUUUUGAUGAAAAGAAUUCGGCGAGCCACGU